CCUACGGGGAGCAGCAGUGAGGAAUAUUGGUCAAUGGGCUUACGCCUGAACCAGCCAAGUCGCGUGAGGGAAGACUGCCCUAUGGGUUGUAAACCUCUUUUGUCAGGGAGCAACGCCGGCUACGUGUAGCCGGACUGAGAGUACCUGAAGAAAAAGCAUCGGCUAACUCCGUGCCAGCAGCCGCGGUAAUACGGAGGAUGCGAGCGUUAUCCGGAUUGAUUGGGUUUAAAGGGUGCGUAGGCGGAAUGCCAAGUCAGCGGUAAAAUCGCGGGGCUCAAUCUCGCUCCGCCGUUGAAACUGGCGUUCUUGAGUGGGCGAGAAGUAUGCGGAAUGCGUGGUGUAGCGGUGAAAUGCAUAGAUAUCACGCAGAACUCCGAUUGCGAAGGCAGCAUACCGGCGCCCAACUGACGCUGAAGCACGAAAGCGUGGGUAUCGAACAGGAUUAGAUACCCCAGUAGUC
Molecule: ribosomal RNA, 460 nt
Filed under: uncultured bacterium
Lineage: Bacteria
Description: partial 16S ribosomal RNA
Rfam family: Bacterial small subunit ribosomal RNA
Source: RNAcentral